Molecule: ribosomal RNA, 107 nt
Filed under: Loxodonta africana (African savanna elephant)
Lineage: Eukaryota; Metazoa; Chordata; Mammalia; Proboscidea; Elephantidae
Source: RNAcentral
GUCUACGGCCACACCACCCUGAGUGUGCCCGAUCUUCUCUGAUCUUAGGAACUAAGCAGGGUUCCCUUGCUAGUACUUGAAUGGGAGACUGCCUAGUACAGUGGUUA